This 468-nucleotide ribosomal RNA is filed under the name uncultured bacterium. Its description in RNAcentral is "partial 16S ribosomal RNA". It matches the Rfam family "Bacterial small subunit ribosomal RNA", at positions 28 to 507 of the family's 1533-position model. The record is from RNAcentral.
GACGAACGCUGGCGGCGUGCUUAACACAUGCAAGUCGAACGGAAAGGCCCAGCUUUUGUGGGGUGCUCGAGUGGCGAACGGGUGAGUAACACGUGAGUAACCUGCCCUUGACUUUGGGAUAACUUCAGGAAACUGGGGCUAAUACCGGAUAGGAGCUCCUGCUGCAUGGUGGGGGUUGGAAAGUUUCGGCGGUUGGGGAUGGACUCGCGGCUUAUCAGCUUGUUGGUGGGGUAGUGGCUUACCAAGGCUUUGACGGGUAGCCGGCCUGAGAGGGUGACCGGCCACAUUGGGACUGGGAUACGGCCCAGACUCCUACGGGAGGCAGCAGUGGGGAAUAUUGCACAAUGGGCGGAAGCCUGAUGCAGCAACGCCGCGUGCGGGAUGACGGCCUUCGGGUUGUAAACCGCUUUCGCCUGUGACGAAGCGUGAGUGACGGUAAUGGGUAAAGAAGCACCGGCUAACUACGUG